RNAcentral lists this long non-coding RNA (716 nucleotides) under Macaca fascicularis (crab-eating macaque). RNAcentral's name for it is "lncRNA (ENSMFAG00000047037.2)". Lineage: Eukaryota; Metazoa; Chordata; Mammalia; Primates; Cercopithecidae. The record is from RNAcentral.
AAUGUAAUUUAUAUUUGAAUUUUUGGCUAAUCAAAUGACAUAUGUUUUAUUGUCUUGCAGUUAUAUUAAUGAGCAAUAUUUAAUUAAAAGCUAAUUGAAUAUUCCAAGCGGCAAUUAUCUUGCAAUAGAGAUGCCAAAUCUGACAUGAGGAGGCAGGUGAGCAGAAAGCAGAACUUGUAUAAUUAUUCCUCUGAGAGAUGGAGAAGAGACCACACCAAGCAUUGCCACAGUGAGAGAUUAGUGAAGAUUCUGCCCUAAACAAAACCAUUUCCUUCGUUGAGCUUAUAUUGUACUUUCUUCAUCAGGAAAGGAAGAAAAGCAGGCCCAAGAUUAUUCUGAGACAACUGGAGGCCUCUUGUGUUCAGCACCUGGAUUGUGCUCAGGAUGGCAAGAGAACAAAGCAAUCUGCUUGCUGUACUUGGGAUAGAGAAGACCUGCACGAGAAAGCCAGAUAUUCAAGAUGGUGUGAUUUCUAUCACAAGCUCUGAAGGACAGCAUGGCAGGACUUAACUGCAGACCAGUGUUUUCAUUAGAAGGAACGAACUGCCUGUAGAUGUGUCCUUACAACUCCAUUGUGCUCUGAACAGCUUCUUGCUGACCGCUGCCUCAAUAUCAGUGAUUCCACCUUAGACCAUAAGCUCCAUGAGGGUAAGAAUCAAGUACUUGUUUUGUUUUGUUUUUGUUACCGUAUGGACUCAGUGACUAGCACAGGCUGU